This 483-nucleotide ribosomal RNA is filed under the name uncultured bacterium. Its description in RNAcentral is "partial 16S ribosomal RNA". It matches the Rfam family "Bacterial small subunit ribosomal RNA", at positions 29 to 507 of the family's 1533-position model. The record is from RNAcentral.
AUUGAACGCUGCGGCAUGCUUUGCACAUGCAAGUCGAACGGCAGCGCGGGCUUCGGCCUGGCGGCGAGUGGCGAACGGGUGAGUAAUACAUCGGAACGUGCCCAGUAGUGGGGGAUAGCUCGGCGAAAGCCGGAUUAAUACCGCAUACGACCUGAGGGUGAAAGCGGGGGAUCUUCGGACCUCGCGCUAUUGGAGCGGCCGAUGGCAGAUUAGCUAGUUGGUGGGGUAAAGGCCUACCAAGGCGACGAUCUGUAGCUGGUCUGAGAGGACGACCAGCCACACUGGGACUGAGACACGGCCCAGACUCCUACGGGAGGCAGCAGUGGGGAAUUUUGGACAAUGGGCGAAAGCCUGAUCCAGCAAUGCCGCGUGUGUGAUGAAGGCCUUCGGGUUGUAAAGCACUUUUGGCGGGAACGAAAAGGACUGUGCCAAUACCACGGUUCGAUGACGGUACCCGCAGAAUAAGCACCGGCUAACUACGUG